GCACAGGACCAAACGGGUCAGGACCAGACGGGUCAGGACCAGACAUCAGGACCAAACGGGUCAGGACCAGACGGGUCAGGACCAGACGGGUCAGAACCAGACGGGUCUGAGAAACAAACCUGGUUUGGUUUCUUCCCUACGCUCAAACUUUGACCCUAAACUGAUCGCUAAGGGCAACAAACUGCUGCAAACUGCUGCAAACUGCUGCAAACUGCCGCAAACUGCCGCAAACUGCUCCACCUCUAUUAAACAGAAAACUUAAUAAAAUAGAAACUUUGGGAUUCAAAGUGAAAAUCAAUCAGGACUAUUGAUACGUGACUAUAUGUAAUUUAUUGGAAAUUUAUAGAAAAAAAUUAAAAAUAUCUGAAAACUUCGAGAUAAAAGAAAGAAGAGAAAGAAGGAAAGAAAUGUCGACUUCCUUCAGUCUGACCUUUGACCUUUCAGUUUUAAUCAAUCAUUCAGUGAAUAACAUGAAACCUGCAGCCCCUUAUUGAUCGCUGAUCAAUAAAAACCUUCAUCAAUCACCCACCCUUCCUCUGAAAAACAUCCAAGA
Molecule: long non-coding RNA, 553 nt
Organism: Poecilia latipinna (sailfin molly)
Lineage: Eukaryota; Metazoa; Chordata; Actinopteri; Cyprinodontiformes; Poeciliidae
Exons: 2
Source: RefSeq, a predicted model, not a curated record